Molecule: long non-coding RNA, 1458 nt
Filed under: Brassica napus (rape)
Lineage: Eukaryota; Viridiplantae; Streptophyta; Magnoliopsida; Brassicales; Brassicaceae
Description: long non-coding RNA (BNAP_LNC008618)
Source: RNAcentral
AAAAAGGAAGUAUGUUUGUAUAAUUUUCAAAAGAUUUUUGAAAAUGAAAGUAGAGCAUUUGUUUCUUACAAACAUGUAAACGGCACUGAAAGAGGCCAAUAACAAAGACUGUACAUAAGGGCCUAUUAGCUGAGCUAAUAGUUUAAGAUAUCUUACCAACUCAUAAUGGGUUGCUUAAUAAUAUAAUAAUAGUAUUUAAGGAGAUAAUUUGGGUAAGAGACUUAUCUAAGCAACUUGACAUUUUUCCUCCUCCAUUGCAAGACUCUUAUUUUAGGGUGCUUAAAAUUUUUAAAGAUUCUUUUGCCAAUAUUAUGUUCUUCAAAGGAGACAAUUCAAUACACAAAACAUACGGCAAGAGAGGAGAAGAGAAGAAGAGUAUUCACUUGUUAGAAUCCGGCCAUCCUCCAGGGAAUAAGAAGACCACCUCCUCAAACCCCAAGAAGUUAUCUGCAUUUCCAUCAUAAACAAAAAGCAAACAAUCUCUAAGAGCAUCAUUAUCUUACCAACUCAUAAUGGGUUGCUUAAUAAUAUAAUAAUAGUAUUUAAGGAGAUAAUUUGGGUAAGAGACUUAGCUAAGCAACUUGACAUUUUUCCUCCUCCAUUGCAAGGCUCUUAUUUUAGGGUGCUUAAAAUUUUUAAAGAUUCUUUUGCCAAUAUUAUGUUCUUCAAAGGAGACAAUUCAAUACACAAAACAUACGGCAAGAGAGGAGAAGAGAAGAAGAGUAUUCACUUGUUAGAAUCCGACCAUCCUUCAGGGAAUAAGAAGACCACCUCCUCAAACCCCAAGAAGUUAUCUGCAUUUCCAUCAUAAACAAAAAGCAAACAAUCUCUAAGAGCAUCAUUAUCCUACCAACUCAUAAUGGGUUGCUUAAUAAUAUAAUAAUAGUAUCUAAGGAGAUAAUUUGGGUAAGAGACUUAGCUAAGCAACUUGACAUUUUUCCUCCUCCAUUGCAAGGCUCUUAUUUUAGGGUGCUUAAAAUUUUUAAAGAUUCUUUUGCCAAUAUUAUGUUCUUCAAAGGAGACAAUUCAAUACACAAAACAUACGGCAAGAGAGGAGAAGAGAAGAAGAGUAUUCACUUGUUAGAAUCCGGCCAUCCUCCAGGGAAUAAGAAGACCACCUCCUCAAACCCCAAGAAGUUAUCUGCAUUUCCAUCAUAAACAAAAAGCAAACAAUCUCUAAGAGCAUCAUUAUCCUACCAACUCAUAAUGGGUUGCUUAAUAAUAUAAUAAUAGUAUUUAAGGAGAUAAUUUGGGUAAGAGACUUAGCUAAGCAACUUGACAUUUUUCCUCCUCCAUUGCAAGGCUCUUAUUUUAGGGUGCUUAAAAUUUUUAAAGAUUCUUUUGCCAAUAUUAUGUUCUUCAAAGGAGACAAUUCAAUACACAAAACAUACGGCAAGAGAGGAGAAGAGAAGAAGAGUAUUCACUUGUUAGAAUCCGGCCAUCCUCCAGGGAAUAAGA